This 253-nucleotide ribosomal RNA is filed under the name uncultured bacterium. Its description in RNAcentral is "partial 16S ribosomal RNA". It matches the Rfam family "Bacterial small subunit ribosomal RNA", at positions 524 to 776 of the family's 1533-position model. The record is from RNAcentral.
UACGUAGGGGGCAAGCGUUAUCCGGAUUUACUGGGUGUAAAGGGAGCGUAGACGGUUAUGCAAGUCAGAAGUGAAAGCCCAAAGCUCAACUUCGGGACUGCUUUUGAAACUGUGUAACUAGAGUGCAGGAGGGGUAAGCGGAAUUCCUAGUGUAGCGGUGAAAUGCGUAGAUAUUAGGAGGAACACCGGCGGCGAAGGCGGCUUACUGGACUGUAACUGACGUUGAGGCUCGAAAGCGUGGGGAGCAAGCAGG